This 360-nucleotide ribosomal RNA is filed under the name unidentified archaeon. RNAcentral's name for it is "bacterial SSU rRNA". It matches the Rfam family "Archaeal small subunit ribosomal RNA", at positions 90 to 450 of the family's 1478-position model. The record is from RNAcentral.
UCAGUAACACGUAGUCAACAUGCCCAGGGGACGUGGAUAACCUCGGGAAACUGAGGAUAAACCGCGAUAGGUCACUACUUCUGGAAUGGGUAAUGACCCAAACCUAUAUGGCCCCUGGAUUGGACUGCGGCCGAUCAGGCUGUUGGUGAGGUAAUGGCCCACCAAACCUGUAACCGGUACGGGCUCUGAGAGGAGGAGCCCGGAGAUGGGCACUGAGACAAGGGCCCAGGCCCUAUGGGGCGCAGCAGGCGCGAAACCUCUGCAAUAGGCGAAAGCUUGACAGGGUUACNUCUGAGUGAUUUCCCGUUAAGGAGAUCUUUUGGCACCUCUAAAAAUGGUGCAGAAUAAGGGGUGGGCAAG